CCUACGGGGGGCAGCAGUGGGGAAUAUUGGGCAAUGGGCGCAAGCCUGACCCAGCAACGCCGCGUGAAGGAAGAAGGCCCUCGGGUUGUAAACUUCUUUUAUUCGGGACGAAACAGAUGACGGUACCGAAUGAAUAAGCCACGGCUAACUACGUGCCAGCAGCCGCGGUAAUACGUAGGUGGCAAGCGUUAUCCGGAUUUACUGGGUGUAAAGGGCGUGUAGGCGGGAGAGCAAGUCAGACGUGAAAUUCC
RNAcentral lists this ribosomal RNA (251 nucleotides) under uncultured bacterium. RNAcentral's name for it is "partial 16S ribosomal RNA". It matches the Rfam family "Bacterial small subunit ribosomal RNA", at positions 338 to 603 of the family's 1533-position model. The record is from RNAcentral.